RNAcentral lists this ribosomal RNA (504 nucleotides) under uncultured bacterium. Its description in RNAcentral is "partial 16S ribosomal RNA". It matches the Rfam family "Bacterial small subunit ribosomal RNA", at positions 29 to 523 of the family's 1533-position model. The record is from RNAcentral.
AUUGAACGCUGGCGGCAGGCCUAACACAUGCAAGUCGAACGGUAGCACAGAGAGCUUGCUCUCGGGUGACGAGUGGCGGACGGGUGAGUAAUGUCUGGGAAACUGCCCGAUGGAGGGGGAUAACUACUGGAAACGGUAGCUAAUACCGCAUAACGUCGCGAGACCAAAGUGGGGGACCUUCGGGCCUCACACCAUCGGAGGUGCCCAGAUGGGAUUAGCUAGUAGGUGGGGUAAUGGCUCACCUAGGCGACGAUCCCUAGCUGGUCCGAGAGGAUGACCAGCCACACUGGAACUGAGACACGGUCCAGGCUCCUACGGGAGGCAGCAGUGGGGAAUAUUGCACAAUGGGCGCAAGCCUGAUGCAGCCAUGCCGCGUGUAUGAAGAAGGCCUUCGGGUUGUAAAGUACUUUCAGCGGGGAGGAAGGCGGUGAAGUUAAUAACUUCACCGAUUGACGUUACCCGCAGAAGAAGCACCGGCUAACUCCGUGCCAGCCGCCGCUGUAA